GACGAACGCUGGCGGCGUGCUUAACACAUGCAAGUCGAACGGAAAGGCGCGGAUCUUGCGGGGUGGACGAGAGGCGCACGGGGGAGUAAAACGUGAGUAACCUGCCCUUGACUUAGGGAUAACUUCAGGAAAAUGGGGAGAAUACAGGGUAGGAGCUACUGCUGCAUGGGGGGGGUUGGAAAGAUUCGGCGGUUGGGGAUGGACUAGCGGCUUAUGAGCUGGUUGGUGGGGUAGUGGCUUACAAAGGCUUUGAAGGGUAGCCGGCCUGGGAGGGUGACCGGCCACCAUGCGCCUGCGGUACGCCCCAGUCUCCUACCGUACGCAGCGGUCGGAAACAUUGCGGAGUGGGCGCAAGCCUGUUGCAGCGACCUCCCGUUCGUGAUGACGUCCUUCUGGUUGUAAACCGCUUUCGCCUGUGACGUAGCCUGCGUGACGGUAAUGGGUAAAGAAGCACCGGCUAACUACGUG
Molecule: ribosomal RNA, 468 nt
Filed under: uncultured bacterium
Lineage: Bacteria
Description: partial 16S ribosomal RNA
Rfam family: Bacterial small subunit ribosomal RNA
Source: RNAcentral